UACGUAGGCGGAAUAAUAAGUCAGUGGUGAAAUCUCCCGGCUCAACCGGGAAACUGCCAUUGAUACUGUUAUUCUUGAAUGUAGUUGAGGUAGGCGGAAUGUGUAAUGUAGCGGUGAAAUGCUUAGAUAUUACACAGAACACCGAUUGCGAAGGCAGCUUACUAAACUAUGAUUGACGCUGAGGCACGAAAGCGUGGGGAGCGAACAGGAUUAGAUACCUGGUAGUCC
Molecule: ribosomal RNA, 228 nt
Filed under: uncultured bacterium
Lineage: Bacteria
Description: partial 16S ribosomal RNA
Rfam family: Bacterial small subunit ribosomal RNA
Source: RNAcentral